GGAAGGAUCAUUACCGAAUUCUAGCUGCUCCGGUUCAGGCCGGUUGCACGCUUCAACCCUUUGUGAACCAAAAAAACCUUACGCUUCGGCAGCUGGCCCAACCAGCUGUAAGCCUGCCGACGGCACCCAAUUUAAACCUGUCUUUAAAACAUUGUCUGAAUUAAACAUUUUCGAAUGAAAAUUAAAACUUUCAACAACGGAUCUCUUGGUUCUCGCAUCGAUGAAGAACGCAGCGAAACGCGAUAGUUAAUGUGAAUUGCAGAAUUCAGUGAAUCAUCGAGUCUUUGAACGCACAUUGCGCCCAUUGGUAUUCCUUUGGGCAUGUCUGUUUGAGCGUCAUUACAACACCUCAGCGCAAGCUGGUUUUGAGCCGUGAGGGUUCUCUUUCUGAGCCCUUCCGCUUUAAAGUUGUAAGCUCUGCUGACCUCCAGCUUGACCGGAAACAUAGUAAACCAUUGCUUGUUUAUGGAACGGUUGGGGGGUUUUCGGCCUGAACAAAAUCUUCAAUUUCUAAGGUUUGACCUCAGAUCAGACAAGGAUACCCGCUGAACUUAAGCAUAUCAAUAAGCGGAGGAAAAGAAACCAACAGGGAUUGCCUCAGUAACGGCGAGUGAAGCGGCAUCAGCUCAAAUUUGAAAUCUGGAGCCUUCGGCUUCCGAGUUGUAAUUUGAAGAGGAUAUUUCGGAGCGGCCCUGAUCUAAGUUCCUUGGAACAGGAUGUCAUGGAGGGUGAGAAUCCCGUACAUGGUCGUGGGCUUGCUCCAUGUGAAAUACCUUCGAAGAGUCGAGUUGUUUGGGAAUGCAGCUCAAAAUGGGUGGUAAAUUUCAUCUAAAGCUAAAUAUUGGCGAGAGACCGAUAGCGCACAAGUAGAGUGAUCGAAAGAUGAAAAGCACUUUGAAAAGAGAGUUAAACAGUACGUGAAAUUGUUGAAAGGGAAGCGCUUGCAAUCAGACUCACCUGCGGUUGAUCAACGUUCCUUUUGGUUCGUGCACUCUGCCGUUUGUGGGCCAGCAUCAGUUGGAGCGGUGGGACAAAGGUAACGGGAAUGUGGCUCUCUUCGGGGAGUGUUAUAGCCCGUUGCGUAAUGCCACCAGCUCCGACUGAGGUCCGCGGUUCGCCUAGGAUGCUGGCUUAAUGGUUGUAAGCGACCCGUCUUGAAACACGGACCAAGGAGUCUAACAUCUAUGCGAGUCUUUGGGUGUCAAACCCAUGGGCGAAAUGAAAGUGAACGGAGGUGGGAGUCCUCGGAUGCACCAUCGACCGAUCCGGAUGUUCUCGGAAGGAUUUGAGUAGGAGCAUAGCUGUUGGGACCCGAAAGAUGGUGAACUAUGCCUGAAUAGGGUGAAGCCAGAGGAAACUCUGGUGGAGGCUCGCAGCGGUUCUGACGUGCAAAUCGAUCGUCAAAUUUGGGUAUAGGGGCGAAAGACUAAUCGAACCAUCUAGUAGCUGGUUCCUGC
Molecule: unclassified non-coding RNA, 1457 nt
Filed under: uncultured fungus
Lineage: Eukaryota; Fungi
Description: sequence contains 18S rRNA gene, ITS1, 5.8S rRNA gene, ITS2, 28S rRNA gene
Rfam family: Eukaryotic large subunit ribosomal RNA (bases 519-1457)
Source: RNAcentral